Molecule: long non-coding RNA, 2945 nt
Organism: Oncorhynchus masou masou (cherry salmon)
Lineage: Eukaryota; Metazoa; Chordata; Actinopteri; Salmoniformes; Salmonidae
Exons: 3
Source: RefSeq, a predicted model, not a curated record
GUGGGCCGGUUGUUGACUGUGUGGGCCGGUUGUUGACUGUGUGGGCCGGUUGACUGGCUGGUUGUUGACUGUGUGGGCUGGUUGACUGGCUGGUUGUUGACUGUGUGGGCUGGUUGUUGACUGUGUGGGCUGGUUGUUGACUGUGUGGGCUGGUUGUUGACUGUGUUGGCUGGUUGUUGACUGUGUUGGCUGGUUGUUGACUGUGUGGGCUGGUUGUUGACUGUGUGGGCUGGUUGUUGACUGUGUGGGCUGGUUGUUGACUGUGUUGGCUGGUUGUUGACUGUGUUGGCUGGUUGUUGACUGGCUGGUUGUUGACUGUGUGGGCUGGUUGUUGACUGUGUGGGCUGGUUGUUGACUGUGUGGGCUGGUUGUUGACUGGCUGGUUGUUGACUGGCUGGUUGUUGACUGUGUGGGCUGGUUGUUGACUGUGUGGGCUGGUUGUUGACUGGCUGGUUGUUGACGGGCUGGUUGUUGACUGGCUGGUUGUUGACUGUGUGGGCUGGUUGUUGACUGUGUGGGCUGGUUGUUGACUGGCUGGUUGUUGACUGUGUGGGCUGGUUGUUGACUGUGUGGGCUGGUUGUUGACUGGCUGGUUGUUGACGGGCUGGUUGUUGACUGGCUGGUUGUUGACUGUGUGGGCUGGUUGUUGACUGUGUGGGCCGGUUGUUGACUGUGUGGGCCGGUUGUUGACUGUGUGGGCCGGUUGUUGACUGUGUGGGCCGGUUGUUGACUGUGUGGGCCGGUUGUUGACUGUGUGGGCCGGUUGUUGACUGUGUGGGCCGGUUGUUGACUGUCUGGUUGUUGACUGGCUGGUUGACUGGCUGGUUAUUGACUGUGUGGGCUGGUUGUUGACUGUGUGGGCUGGUUGUUGACUGUGUGGGCUGGUUGUUGACUGUGUGGGCUGGUUGUUGACUGUGUGGGCUGGUUGUUGACUGUGUGGGCUGGUUGUUGACUGGCUGGUUAUUGACUGGCUGGUUGUUGACUGUGUGGGCUGGUUGUUGACCGUGUGGGCUGGUUGUUGACUGUGUGGUUGUUGACUGUGUGGGCUGGUUGUUGACUGUGUGGGCUGGUUGUUGACUGUGUUGGCUGGUUGUUGACUGUGUUGGCUGGUUGUUGACUGUGUGGGCUGGUUGUUGACUGGCUGGUUGUUGACUGUGUGGGCUGGUUGUUGACUGGCUGGUUGUUGACUGGCUGGUUGUUGACUGUGUGGGCUGGUUGACUGUGUGGGCUGGUUGUUGACUGUGUGGGCUGGUUGUUGACUGGCUGGUUGUUGACUGGCUGGUUGUUGACUGUGUGGGCUGGUUGUUGACUGUGUGGGCUGGUUGUUGACUGUGUUGGCUGGUUGUUGACUGGCUGGUUAUUGACUGGCUGGUUAUUGACUGGCUGGUUAUUGACUGGCUGGUUAUUGACUGUUGGCUGGUUGUUGACUGGCUGGUUGUUGACUGGCUGGUUGUUGACUGUGUGGGCUGGUUGUUGACUGGCUGGUUAUUGACUGGCUGGUUAUUGACUGGCUGGUUAUUGACUGGCUGGUUAUUGACUGUGUGGGCCGGUUGUUGACUGUGUAGGCUGGUUGUUGACUGUGUGGGCUGGUUGUUGACUGGCUGGUUAUUGACUGUGUGGGCUGGUUGUUGACUGGCUGGUUGUUGACUGGCUGGUUGUUGACUGGCUGGUUGUUGACUGGCUGGUUGUUGACUGGCUGGUUAUUGACUGUGUGGGCUGGUUGUUGACUGGCUGGUUAUUGACUGUGUGGGCUGGUUGUUGACUGGCUGGUUGUUGACUGGCUGGUUGUUGACUGGCUGGUUGUUGACUGGCUGGUUGUUGACUGGCUGGUUGUUGACUGGCUGGUUGUUGACUGGCUGGUUGUUGACUGGCUGGUUGUUGACUGUCUGGUUGUUGACUGUCUGGUUGUUGACUGGCUGGUUGUUGACUGGCUGGUUGUUGACUGGCUGGUUGUUGACUGUGUGGGCUGGUUGUUGACUGGCUGGUUAUUGACUGUCUGGUUGUUGACUGGCUGGUUAUUGACUGGCUGGUUGUUGACUGUGUGGGCUGGUUGUUGACUGUGUGGGCCGGUUGUUGACUGUGGGCUGGUUGUUGACUGUGUGGGCUGGUUGUUGACUGGCUGGUUAUUGACUGUCUGGUUGUUGACUGGCUGGUUAUUGACUGUCUGGUUGUUGACUGUAUCAGGAGACCCUCUUCCAGCUCUGUGUCAGAGGCAGCUUCAGUAGCAGCAGUAGCAGCAUUUGGUCUAUCAGAGGCCCAGCGUCAAGCCAAAGAGGAGGAACAGAGGAACAUGGCCCUGCUGGAGAUGGAGCUACGGAUGAGAGAAGCUUCCCUGCACUGGGGGUGGUGUCUAAUGCCAGUGAAGGGAAGAAGAGGACAGGCAGAGGCAUGAGGAGAUCAACACUAGAGGAGGAGAGGAAGACCCCAUCACCUCCCACUCCUAACCUUCCUCCCACUCCUAACCUUCCUCCCACUCCUAACCUUCCUCCCACUCCUAACCUUCCUGCUACUACUAACCUUCCUCCCACUCCUAACCUUCCUCCCACUCCUAACCUUCCUCCCACUCCUAACCUUCCUCCCACUCCUAACCUUCCUCCCACUCCUAACCUUCCUGCUACUCCUAACCUUCCUCCAACCACCAUUCCUUCCAACCCUUUCCAUGUCAACUCCUGGCCUAAAACAACUGCUGCUGUUCCGGCCGUCCCCACCCCCUCACCUCGCCCCCACCUGUGUCUGGGGUUUUUACUGCCCCACCUCUGGUGACCUCUGUGCCCGACACGGUGACCUCUGUGCCCGACACGGUGACCUCUGUGCCCGACGCGGUGGACCAAUCCCCAGACAAUACAGACUGUCCCUCUCAACCCCCCCCUCCUCUCAAUCUCACCCACCCCUCCUCUCUUCCACAAUCUGGUCAACCCUAUCUUCCCCAAUGUUCUCUCUCCCAG